Molecule: long non-coding RNA, 11626 nt
Organism: Aphis gossypii (cotton aphid)
Lineage: Eukaryota; Metazoa; Arthropoda; Insecta; Hemiptera; Aphididae
Exons: 3
Source: RefSeq, a predicted model, not a curated record
CGGCCCUGAUGCUUAUGAUAUCAGUCAAGUGACGACAAUAAUCUAAAAUUCUCAAACGACUGGGAACUUUGGGUUUAUAUUUAUCUAUUAUGGGUGUGAACGGUGUGUGGUAAAAAAAAAAUAUUCCGCGAUCCGCCAUCGUGCGACAGCGCGGCAGAUGCACUCGGGAACUGCACCGAUCAACAUCAUCGUCUUGACCACGCGCAGAACAUUUUUCGUCGCCGUCGAGAUGGUUACAACUCGGCAUUAUAGGAAUCUACCUCCUAUGUCAUACAUGAGAGGUGGAUUCACUCCUCACACAGAUGGUUUAUGGCGUGUUCGCGAGUACGAGUAAAUUAUUUUCAUCAAAUUCGGAGCACUUCAUCCGAAAACGCAGCCUUGUAAGACACGUAUCGAACGAAACGAAAUAUGAGUUUGUGACCAACGCACGCGUUUACCUACCAGUUACGAAUAAUAUUUUUUUUCAUCCGUUGUCAAGAAUAGUUUUUUUGGCUAUCAAUAUCUGGCAACAAAAAAUACGUAACAAUGAGAAAAGAAAAUAUCAAUUGUCGGUUGAAGGUAAAUUAACCAUUUAACUUUAAGUGUACGAGUACAACAUCGAGCUCAAAAAAAGUAUGAUUAAAUGCUUAAAUCGAACAAUAAUACGAUAAUUAUAUACGUUAUAUAAUUAUAUCUAUUAUUCUCAAUAAUGUGCCCCUAAAUAAAUCUGUUUCAAGAAUAAAAAAAAAAUACUGUUAGUACCUAUUAUUGUAAAAACGAUUUAGCAUUUAAGUAAAUUUAUUUAUAUUUGCAUUGCAAUACAUAAUAAAUAAUAAUAUAUGUGUAAAUAUAAUAUAUAAAGGCGUGUGCACGAAACAUAGGAAUUGUGAAGCUAUCUAAAACUGCUUGAAUAGAUAUUGUUUAUUAUAAGACACAGAUUAAUAAAUUUAGGGACAUCACAAUUUAAUGUAAUCUCUAUCCAAAAAAAUAAUAACAAUAAAAGGAAAAAUUAAAUUAAAUAACAAAAUCCUUUUUUAAUUCACCGUGAAAAAUAAUAAUUUAAAAAUAAAUGCCAGAGCCAGAUAAAAACGGCGACCCACUAUAUAAUGACCCCUAUGUUAUGUAUACACUUGCGAUUUAGUUUUAUAUAUUUUUCUCACGGUAGAUCUGAUAAACUUUUUAUUAUUCAUGUUAAUUUCUCUCAAUUAUCAAAGUUAUAAAAUAAAUUAUUAUUUAAUCAAAAAUAUCAGUAUUAAAUUGAUAUUCAAUCGAAGCGCACACAGGUUGCAAGUGUUUGGCUAUGUAAACCCCCUAAAAAUACCAGGCCCGUAGCCAGACCAAAUUUUCAAGUGGGGCAAAGUAAACUUUUUUGGGGGGGCAUUAUAUAUAAAAACAAUGUCUUUCUUAUAUUUUUAAUAUUUUUAGGGGGGCAACGCCUCCUCUCGCCCCCCCCCCCCCGUGGCUAAGGGCCUGAAAAUACAUAUAUUUAUCGUAAUCUACCUAUGAAAAAAUUCAGCACACGCCUGCUAUGUGUAUAAAAAUUAUUGUAAAAUGUAUAACUAUAGUAAUAGGUGAAAAAAAAAGGUAAAAAUAUAUAAGAAUAUUUAAUGAGUUACGUUUAUUCGAAAUUAAAAUAUUAUUACUGUUAUUAGGGUUCCGUACUGUAAAACGGGACCCUAUUACUUUGGCUCCGCUGUCCGUCCGUCCGUCUGUCUGUCACCAGCCUGUAUUUCAUAAUUUUCACAGAUGAUGUAUUUGUGUUGCCGCCAUAACAAUACGAUGGAAAUUUGUAGUUGUUUCGUUCUCAUGGUACGGAUCCCUUCGUGCGCGAGUCCGACUCGCACUUGCCCGGUUUAUUAUUAUUAUUUUCAUUACUUAUUAAAUUAUAGUUAUCUUAACUGCACAUAAAAAAAAAAUUUAUAAGUAUCUAAAAUAUGUAUGAUAUGCAUUAUUUUAUGUAUUAAAAUAUUUUUUUAUUCGAUUCGCGGUAUAAGUAAUUUGUUAGGAAAGGCAAAUUGAUUUCUGUGUUGAAAUAAUAAUAAUUAUAACAAUUAUAAACAUUAUGACUAGUCGACAGUGGCGUAGCUAGACACUUUUUCUUGAGUAGGCCCGAUAUUUUGAUGUAACUAGGUAAGGAUUAUCAAUGAAUAUUUUUAUUAAAUAAAAAUUGACAGAAUAUCGUAUAUACUAUUAUACAUUUAUUAUACGCACAUCACAUACAUUUAUUUUAAAUUUUAAAACUAAUAUAGUCGUAUAGACUACACAUGCAAUACGAUAUAAAAUAUUUAUUUUUAGAAAAAGUGGGUAGGCCUGGGCCUACCAAGUCUACCCGCUAGCUACACCACUGCUAAUCGAUCUAAAACAAUAUAUUGUAUUUUAUAUUUUUAAUUGUAUAUUUUUGAUAAUUUAGAUUUAUGAAGUACCUAAUUGCAUAUUAAUUUCAGUUUUUAGAACAAUAAAUUUCGAGUAUUAGUUAUACGUAUAAUACAAUUUCAUCGUGUUUUUUAUUUGUAUUAAAAUCAUUGCAUUACCAAUCAAUAGUAAAUAGUAAUACAUACACAAAUAUACAUCUAAAUCAGAGUUUCCCAAAGUGGGUGAUAAAGCUAUCCAGGGGGGCGAUGAAAGUUACAAGCUUAAUUAAUUUUUUAAUGUGUACCUACUUAUAUAUACCAAUACAUUUUUCUUUAUAAGCUCUAGUAAUAAUAUUCGUUUAACUAAUCCAAGUAAUAUGUAUUAAUUUUAAUAAAUAGUUAUUUUUUUUUUUAAUGUAAUAUUAUUUAUAUAUUUUUCAAUAAACUUUUAUGUAAUUAACAUUUAACAUAAUUUGAUAUCAUAUUAAAGUAAAUCGUACCUACAUAUAGUAUCUUAGAAAUAAACAAAUUAAUGUGAAUAGUAUACUCUUAAAAAUCUUUUACUCGAUAUUGAUAAACAAUUGUUGAAAGAAUUUAAUUAUUUUAUAAAUAAAUAAGUAUAUAAAAUUCAUUUUUUUUCAAAACUUUAAUAUUUUUACGGAGUACCUGUUAUAGUUCAAUUUAUUAUUAUUAAAAUCGUUUACACUAAAGAUUUAAUGGACACGAAUUACCUACAAUUUUAAAUACUAAAAUAUUCAAAACAUAUUCAUAAAUCUCCUAGUCGUGGCUAAUAACUUCAUAUCAUACAAAAAUUUACAUUAAUUUUUAUUACACAUGUUCGUCGAUCGUCAUCACAAGUCGUUUUUAUAUUAUAACCAUUGAAAAUUAUAUUCAUAAUACAUUAUAAUGUAUUUGUGUUCAUAUUUUCAUAAGUCGCAAUAAUUGAGGUAGAUAAUGGAUAUAAUAAAGCUAACCAUCUAUCGGUAUAUUAUUGAGGGUUCGCCAAUAAUUUUUUCGACACAGGUAUCUUGUUAUUGUCCGCAGUUAAUAUUAAAUUUCUAUAAUGUUUAUUUCAAUGUCACUCAGCGACUUUAUUACUCUAUAGUUGGCUAUAAUGUGUAUAAUAUUAUCUUUAAAGUAUAAUUACGGUGCUGUGUAAUGUCCACGAGAGCACGUGUUUAAGUAAUAAAUUACUUCGUCACUGCAGUAUAACUACGAUAACAUUUUCUAAAAUCGUCACGAUUUAUCCCAAAAAUUAUUUUGAAACUCAUCAAAUUACUUCGUUUUUGCGACCAUGCUUACUUUCUACUAGAAAAAUAAAAAAUAUUUAUCAUUAAUUUUCUUAAUAAUUAGAUAAAACUAGCAAAAAUAACUUAAAAACUGAAAUAUUUUCUCAAAAUCGUGGUUUUUCACAACAUAGUACAUACCUACAUAUAUAUUGUUUUAGAUUCUUAGUGAAUCCACUCGAGUAAUACAUGUAUUAAUUUUACAAUAACAUGUGUUUUAUUUUCUGUCUGUCGUCAACUUCUGAAUCAAUUACAAUAGUAAAUAGCUACUUUGAUAUUCAUGUAUUAAGAUUGUUUCUGGUAGAAAAUUAGAUAUAGUUGAUCCUUUGGGGAGGAGGAAGAUAGUUAUAACUUAUAAGUUAAAUAUAAAACUAGUAUUCAACAAAAUCAAAUUUGUUUUUUUAAAACUUAAUAACCACAGGUAGUUAUUAAACAUUUUUACCAAGUAUUUAAAUUUGCAUUUUCUAUGUAACAUAAAGUUUUCAAAAUACAUUGAAUCUUUUCAAGCUAUUAUUUAUAAACAUUUGAAAAUUUCAAGUUCUUAUUUUUAUUUUUAAUUUUUUAAUAAUUAAUAUCAAUGAAAAUUUUCAAUGAUUUAUCAUUGAAUUCAAAUUUUAAAUUUAACCCAACCAUUAGUCAUUACAAUUUAAGUCCACUCGACAGAUACUGUAUAUAAUUUUGAAAGCUUAAUAUUCUCGUUUCCUUUUCGGUAUUCAGUCUUCUUCUAUAUUUAACAUAUAAAUAGACCUAAUUCACGGUUAUCGCCACACACACGAGCGCACACAACAUGUAUUGGUGAGCGGACUUAGUGGUCUCAAAAAAAAAAGAUAACAAUAACUAUAUCACAUAACAAUUUCAUUUUUAAUUUAUAACCGACGACGCCCCAGGGAGAUGCGAUAUACAGAUUGAAAACCACUGUUAUAUGCGAUAUUUCUAUGAAACUUUUAAUCCAUUUUUUUUUUAAAUUUCUAAAACUGUAAGAGCUCUGACUACAUGGUUACAUAGUUUAUACCUACCUAUUUGCUUUAUUUUUUUUUAUAUAUAUUAGUUUUAUUACACGUUAUUCUUAAAACAAAAUUAUAAUAAUUUUUUUCUAGUCAAACUCCGACAACGGUCAUUUGCUAUACCAGUCUAGUAUUUUAUGUUCGUAACUGUAAACUGUAAAUUAUGGUACUGUAGAAGUCGUAAUGACUUCGACGCUAAGAUUAUUGAUAAUUUCUUUUUACCGAAAAUGUGUUGGUUAGUCCGUGUUUUCGAAAUUAUUAUUAGUUCUUCCGCACUGUUCGUACUUAUUUCAGUAUCGCGCUAAUAUCGACAGUUGGUGGAUUGGGAAACGUGUAUGCCAAGACUUGACAUUGGCUAGAAUUCAAAAGUCACAGAAACUAUUGAGUCCGUUUUUUUGAGAUUAUUGGUUCUUCCGCACAGUUCGUACUUAUUUCAGUAUCGCACUAAUAUAAAUUGACAGGUGAUAGAUUUGAAAACGUGUAUGCCAAGACUUGACAUCACUAAGAUUCAAAAGUCACUGUAACUACAGUCUACAGUCCGUGUUUUCGAAAUUAUUGGUUCUUCCGCACAGUUCGUACUUAUUUCAGUAUCGCACUAAUAUUGACGGGUGAUUAAGCAACUUCUAGUACAUUGCUAGAAUUCAAAAAUCACAAAAAACUAAAGUCAGUGUUAUCGAGAUUAUUAGUUCUUCCACACUGUUCGUACUUAUUUCAGUAUUACGCCAAUGACAACAAACUUAGGAGUUAAAUAAACCGCUCUUUUUAUAUAGUUAUAACUUAUAACUCAAAAACAAAUCAUUGUAAUUACUUGAAAUUUUCACCAAAUGUUUAUAUAAGUGUUAUUUAUAUACAAAAUAUUAAAUAUAUAUUUAAUAUAUUAUAUUAAAUAUUCAAAAUAUUUUAGUGUUUUUUUUGCGUUAUUUAAAGAAAAUUAGAAUUUUCGAUUUGUCUAAGUUUUUGUUUUUAAAUGUCGAUAAACAAACUUAGGAUGCCAAAAAAACUUGAAAAUUUAAUACAACGUUUCUUAUACAUUAUUCUUAUUGUAGUUCAAAAAAAUCAAAAAUUGUUAGUCACAAUUUUUUUAUAAGCAUUUAAAGUUUAAAUUUUUAUGAAAUAUGUCAAAAUUGAGAAAAUUUACAUGUAAUUUUAUACUUGAAAAUUUAUCAAAUUGUUUGUAUUUAUAUCUAAGGUUAAAAAAUUAAACACCAAAUUGUCCAUAAGUUUUCCUUCAAAUAGGUAGUUAAGAAAACUCGAAGCGUCAUUAUAGGAAAAAUGUUAUGCAUUUUUAAUAGCGUUUAAAUUUUAAGUUUUUACGAAAUCGCGUAACGAUAAAACGGUAACGAUUUAUCAUCAAAUGAUUUUCAAUAUUUUUAUUAUUCAAAAAGCAUAAAUCAUAGAUGCUUGAAAAUUUCACCAGUUCUUUAGAAUAGCAUUUUCUUUACAUAAUUUAAUUUUCAAAAUAGUUCCCUUAAUUUUAGGCUAUUUAUAGGCAUUUGAAAUAUUCAUUUUUUUUUAGUUUUUUAUUUAUAUAUAUAACAAUAAAAAAAUGUUGGCUUAGUCAAAAUACUUGAAAAUUGAUUAGAAAGUUCCUCAUAAGUUGGUCUUAUAGUGAUUUAAAAAAUUAUAAGGAAUACUUAGGCACAAUUUUUUUUAUUAGCGUUUGAAGUUCAAAUAUUGUGAAAUAUUUGUAAAAACCAUGAAUAUUUGCAAAUAAUUUUGUAGUUAAAAUGUAUAAAUAAUUUUGUAUAAGUAGCUAAGAGUUGAAAAUUUAAUUUAAGAUUUUCCAUAAGUUUGGCUUACAAUAAUUAUAAGAGAAUUUUAAAAAAUGUAUCUUAAGUUUAAAUUUAUACGAAAUCUAAAAUUCACGCGUAAAAUAUCGGUUUACUAUCAAAUAAUUUCAGAUUUUUGUUAGGUAUAGUUAAAAAUUAUUAGUCGGAGAGACUUGAAACAAGUUGUGAACCAGUUGUUUAAAUUGCCAUUUUCUGUACAUAAUUUAAUUAUUCAGGUAUAAGGUCAUUAAAACAUAAACCAUCUUUUAGUAUUUUAUCAUUUAAUUUUUAAAUACCUACCUAAUUUUUAUAUGGAUAGAUACAUUUUAUAUCUAAUAGGUAUCUACGCAUAACUUGCAAUUGGACAUUCUAUAAUAGGGUAUUGAAUAAUGAUUGUUUUCUAUAAAUUUAUAAGUAACUCGAGUCUAUCGUCGUAUGUAAAAUGCAAAUAGGUAAAUUAUUUUUAUUAUAGGUACUUUAGCUAGCUUCCACGCUAAAAUACUAUUUUGAAAUUGAAGAACAUUGUUUUGUUUUAACAAUUUUAAGACUAUAAAUUUAUAAGUAACUCGACCGAGAUCACACUGUGUCCACAUCGAAUCUACAAAACCAUUAAUAUAAUUCAAACCCAUAUUUUUACUACGUGUUAUCACUACUGACUAACAGGUACACGUAGUUGAAGUAUCGAAAAAAUGUUUAAAUAGAAAACUUUCUUAUAUACUUGCUCUAAAACUAAAAAUCCUAUUAUUAUUUUAGAUUCUGGAUGAAGUGAUGAAUGUAUUGAUUUUACAAUGAUGUGUGUUUUUUUGGUUUUUGUGUCUGUGUGCAUUACUUGUCGAAAUAAUGUUUAUCCAUUUAAAAAACUUCAGAGGUAUAGUUUCCAAAUGCAAAUUUAAUAUCCUUAGUGCAUUAAAGAUGUCAAAAGUAAGCAGUUUCCAGUAGUUUUAAAAAUAAUCAAGAAAAGCCACAAAAUAGUGACGGAAAAACUGGACAUUUUACACAAAACCAGUUUUCGACAAAAUUGAUUUUUUUCUAUAUAAUUAUAUCUAAAAACGAAUCACUGUAAAUACUUGAAAUUUUUACCAUAUGUUUGUUUUAGUGUUAUCUAUACACGGUUAAGUUUUCAAAAUAUUCUAGCUUUUUUGGCUAUAUCUAGACAGCUGAAAUUUGAAAUAUGUCAAAAUCGUGAAAAUUUGCAAGUAAUUUUGUAGUUGAAAAUUCAUUAAAAAUGUUAUAUUUAAAUCUAAGGUUAAAAAAUUCAACAUUAUAGGUAAAUAUUAUAUGAGAGUCUGAAUUAUAAAAUUUUAUAAAAUUGCGUAUAACGAUUUCAAUAAUUCCUCAAACGGUUUUAAAUAUUUGUUAUUAUUCAAAAAAUAUAAAUCAUAGAUAAAUGUAAAAUACAUUUACAAUUUUUUAUGUUAUAGGUAUAGAUACCUUAACUAGCUUCCGUGCUUAAAUACUGUUUUAAAAUUGUAAAAUAUUGUUUUGUCUUAACAGUUUUAAAACUAUAAAUUUAUAAGUAACUCGACCGAGAUCACAUUGUGUCAACAGCGAAUCUAUAAUAAAUCCAUCAAUGUAUUUCCUUUCUACAUUUUUACAGCGUAAUAUUUCUAAUUCAUUAUUCAACACUAAGUUUUCCUUCAAUAGCUUUAGAGAAAACUCGAAGAGUCAUUAUGGGAAAAAUGGUAUGUGUUUGUUAAUAGGGUUUGAUCGUUAUGUUUUUACGAAAUCGAGUAACGAUAACGAUUUAUCCUCAAACGAUUAUAAAUAUUUUUUGUUUUUAUUCAAAAAGUGUAAGUCGUAGAUACAUGAAAAUUUCACCAGUUUUUUAGGUUGACAUUUUCUUUAUAUAAUUUAAUUUUCAAAAUAUUUCGCUUAUUUUAAUGCUAUUUAUAGGCAUUUUAAAUAUUCUUUUUGUUUACUUUUUUAAAAUACUCAAAAAUUGAAUACAAAGUUCCUCGUACGUUAAUAUUAUUGUGAUUUAAAAGUUAUGAGAAUACAUAGAAACUUUUUUUAUUAGCUUUUGAAGUUCAAAUAUUGACAAAAAUUCAUCAAAAUCAUGAAUAUUUUCAAAUUAUUUUAUACCUAUAUAUAAUUCAUAAACAUUUUCAAUAAGUAGCUAAGAGUUGAAAAUUCAAUAUAAGAUUUUCCAUAGUUUGGUUUACAAUAAUUAAAAAAGAAGUUAAACAGUGACCAAUUAAAAAUUUUUAUCUUUAAUUUAAAUUUUUACGAAGUCCAAAAUUCAUUUGCAAAAUAACGAUUUACUAUCAAAUAAUUUUAGAUAUUUGUUAAUUAUUAUACUUAAAAAUUAUUAGUCGUAGAAACUUGAAAUAUACUCCAGUUGUUUAAAUUGACAUUUUCUAUACCUACGUCCUACAUGAUUUAAUUUUUAGGUAUUCGGGUCAUUAAAACAUAAACCACCUUUUUCGCCACCAAGUUAAGGUGGAAAAUACACCUACAAUUCAUCUUUAUUCAGAAUCGUUUUUCGUAUAAUAUAAUGAUACUUAUCAUUGAAUUCAAAUUUAACGCUCCUAAUAAUUAUAUAAUAGUGAUCCACACGACAUCUAAUGUACAGCUUUUUAAAAACACAACUUUAAAUUAAUUUUAUAUUUUAUUUAUCGAUAGAACUUUUAGAAGUACAUACGUACCUGAUUUAUUUUGCCAGUUAAAUAAUACUUGAUUCAAAUAUGUAAUAUCUUUGUAUUUGAAAAAAAUUCGAAUAAUUAAAAAAAAAAAACCUCGAAAUAUAUAACUAUACCCAAAAAGAUAACAUUUAAAAUUAUUUAGUAAUUUUUUUUUAUUUGAAGUCCUACUCCAAAAGAUAUAAUAUGUAAUUAUAUAUAAUAUAUACUUAUUGGAAUUUAUUUCUAGUAGGUAGGCGUUAAAUCGGUCAUAUAACAUAGAUACAGAGAAACUUCAUACUAUAUCGUAGUGUACAACUAUUAUUUAAAUUAAAGCUGAAAUUAGGUAAAUCAAACAUAACCCAAAUAAUUGUAACUAACUCCUUAUUCAAAAUUGUUGAAUUCGCGGCUGAUAUUUUGAAAUUUUGUUAGUCACUUGUCCAUGUUAAAAGGUACUUAUUAGUAGGUACAAAUUAUUAUAAAUUUUUAUUUAAAAAAAUUAUCAUAAAACUAUGUCUUAGAAUCUUUUUUUGUUAAUCAAACAUUUAUCAAGUUAUACAACCAAUCUAUAUAAUAAGCUAAUAUAUAAAUUAUAAGAAAUAAUUUUAUAUUGUUUCUUAAAAGUAAUUGCAAAAGUCAUAAAUUCUUUAUAGCAUUUUAUUAAAUGCAAAAUACAGACUAAACUUCAGUACAAAUUCAACCAUUUUACUUUGAAAAAUUUUUGUAAAUUGGUAACGUAUUUUUUACUCACUAAUGUGGUAAUAGGUAAUAAUCUCAUUAUUUGUAGAAUAAUAUAAAUACAUUUUUAUUAUUAUAAAGUAACAAAUCAAUUUAUCAAUCUAUACUUAUUUAUAAACUAUUUGAAAUAGCUCUAAAAUUAUAGUUAGGUGCCUUGUACGUGGUUAUAUUUAUCAAUUUUGUUUAAAGUUUUUACACAUUUUUUAAAUUAUUUUAAGCAAUUUAUUUUGGUUUAUUGCCUUGAAAUUUAUUUUACCAAUACCUAUAUAAAGUAAAAUCAUGUUCUUCAUUUUAAAGACAAAAUGAUGAUUCAGUGAUACCUACUAUAGUUAUACAUUUUAUAAAUUUUAACUUAUUAUAAAUUGUUUAUGUUUGUAUGAAUUAUAUAUUUUUUAAAUGUAAAUCAAUGAAAAUGAAUCGUUUUGAAUUAUAAUUGUAUAUUAUUUAAGUUUUGAUUAUUAAUUAAUAUAUGUACCAAUUUAGUUUUAAGUGUUAUGGGUGCCUAUAAACAUAGUGAAUACUAGAAUUUUGUUUUCAUGUGAAAACAUAUUUUGAAAAAAAAGUAUUAAAAUUUAAGCAUUAUAACUGAAUUUAAUACUGUUGAAUAUUAUGCAAUGUUUGGUAGGUAUAUAAAUAAAAAGAUGUUUAAAUACCCACAUGUUUACACUUAUAAUACCUAAAUAUAAUAAUGUGUGUGUGUUUUUUUAAAUAAAAUAAUGUGUCCCACUACAAGUUUUGUGUGGGACAAUAGAAUAUAUGUAUUGUAUCUAUACCAAAAGUGUAUAGUGUAAUAUAAUUUUUAAAUGUAUAUAAUAAAGGAAGUAUAAGUUUGGACAGUUAGAUAAAUUUAAAUGGAAAUAUGUACCUAUACUUAUUUGAUAGCAUUAUUAUAAUGGUUAGUUUGAUGAAAAAUAUCAAACUGUUAAAAAGUGUAAGAAAACAUUAAUUGUAAAAAAAAAGUGAAUGUUAGAUUUUGUUUUGAAUUCAAAUCUUAACAAAUUAUCUAACAACUAUCCUCAAUUUAAAUUGGAUAGUAUCUACUACCUAUACCACAACAAUAAGGUUUAGAUUGAUUUUGUUCAAUUUUAUUCUAUAAAAUAAAUGUAGAUUCCAACAUUGAUUUAUCUAUAGUGUUGGACAUUAAGAAUUCAUAUCAACUAAUUAAACAAGAUACAUUAAUUCAAUACCUGCCUAAGUAUGCAUGUAUGUAUUUAUGUAUAUAAAUAUAAACAUUGUACAUGUCCAAUACUUAUAACUUAAAAGUAUUAUAAUAUAUUAUUAAAAAAAUAUCAAUAUAUUAUAUGCAAUGAAGGAAACACUACUCUAGGUACUUAAUACUUAGUCACUUAUACAGGAAAACGUAAAAAAAAAAUAGUUAAGUAUAACAAACAAUAUACCUACCGAAUUAUUGCUAAUACAACUUUAAUGUAUUUCAAAUGCAUAAUUUGAGGCAUUUCUUCAAUAAAAAAUAAACUUUUAUACAUUAUACAUUACAGUAAAACCACUCUAUAACGGACCCUCUAUUAGAUGGAAUCCUCCUUAUAACAAAAAAUUUAAAUAGUCCCAGUACCAAAAAUAUAAUAUAAUUCUACUUCCCUAUAAUGGAAAAAAAAUUAUUGGCCCCAAGCGAUUCCAUUAUAAAGAGCUUUUACUGUAUAUCCGUAUUAUAGGCACCUUAUAAUAUUAUUGUAACGAUUAUAAUUAAUUAUUUAAAACAUAUAAACAUAUGUCUAUCAUACAAAAUUAUUGUUUUCAAACUUGCAUGUACUAUUAUUAUGUAUAAAUUUCCAAUUAAGUUAAGUUGUUUUUUAAUAAAUAUAAUAGAUUAUGUAAGUUAAAAAUUGCAAAUUUUUGUAUUUUAAUAAAGAAAAAAUAUUGUUA